This 116-nucleotide ribosomal RNA is filed under the name Klebsiella pneumoniae. Lineage: Bacteria; Pseudomonadati; Pseudomonadota; Gammaproteobacteria; Enterobacterales; Enterobacteriaceae. The record is from RNAcentral.
CCCGGCGGCACUAGCGCGGUGGUCCCACCUGACCCCAUGCCGAACUCAGAAGUGAAACGCCGUAGCGCCGAUGGUAGUGUGGGGUCUCCCCAUGUGAGAGUAGGGAACUGCCAGGG